This 977-nucleotide ribosomal RNA is filed under the name uncultured bacterium. RNAcentral's name for it is "bacterial SSU rRNA". It matches the Rfam family "Bacterial small subunit ribosomal RNA", at positions 28 to 1009 of the family's 1533-position model. The record is from RNAcentral.
GAUGAACGCUAGCGGCAGGCUUAACACAUGCAAGUCGAGGGGUAGAGAAAGCUUGCUUUCUUGAGACCGGCGCACGGGUGCGUAACGCGUAUGCAAUCUACCUUUCACAAAGGGAUAGCCCAGAGAAAUUUGGAUUAAUACCUUAUAGUAAUACGACUUGGCAUCAAGAUGUAUUUAAAGAUUUAUCGGUGAAAGAUGAGCAUGCGUCCCAUUAGCUAGUUGGUAUGGUAACGGCAUACCAAGGCUACGAUGGGUAGGGGUCCUGAGAGGGAGAUCCCCCACACUGGUACUGAGACACGGACCAGACUCCUACGGGAGGCAGCAGUGAGGAAUAUUGGACAAUGGGCGCAAGCCUGAUCCAGCCAUGCCGCGUGCAGGAUGACGGUCCUAUGGAUUGUAAACUGCUUUUAUACAGGAAGAAACACCUCUACGUGUAGAGACUUGACGGUACUGUAAGAAUAAGGAUCGGCUAACUCCGUGCCAGCAGCCGCGGUAAUACGGAGGAUCCAAGCGUUAUCCGGAAUCAUUGGGUUUAAAGGGUCCGUAGGCGGUCAGAUAAGUCAGUGGUGAAAGCCCAUCGCUCAACGGUGGAACGGCCAUUGAUACUGUCUGACUUGAAUUAUUAGGAAGUAACUAGAAUAUGUAGUGUAGCGGUGAAAUGCUUAGAGAUUACAUGGAAUACCAAUUGCGAAGGCAGGUUACUACUAAUUGAUUGACGCUGAUGGACGAAAGCGUGGGUAGCGAACAGGAUUAGAUACCCUGGUAGUCCACGCCGUAAACGAUGGAUACUAGCUGUUGGGAGCAAUCUCAGUGGCUAAGCGAAAGUGAUAAGUAUCCCACCUGGGGAGUACGAACGCAAGUUUGAAACUCAAAGGAAUUGACGGGGGCCCGCACAAGCGGUGGAGCAUGUGGUUUAAUUCGAUGAUACGCGAGGAACCUUACCAAGGCUUAAAUGUAGUUUGACCGGUUGGAAACAG